GAGCGGUAGCACAGAGAGCUUGCUCUCGGGUGACGAGCGGCGGACGGGUGAGUAAUGUCUGGGAAACUGCCUGAUGGAGGGGGAUAACUACUGGAAACGGUAGCUAAUACCGCAUAACGUCGCAAGACCAAAGUGGGGGACCUUCGGGCCUCAUGCCAUCAGAUGUGCCCAGAUGGGAUUAGCUAGUAGGUGGGGUAACGGCUCACCUAGGCGACGAUCCCUAGCUGGUCUGAGAGGAUGACCAGCCACACUGGAACUGAGACACGGUCCAGACUCCUACGGGAGGCAGCAGUGGGGAAUAUUGCACAAUGGGCGCAAGCCUGAUGCAGCCAUGCCGCGUGUGUGAAGAAGGCCUUCGGGUUGUAUAGCACUUUCAGCGGGGAGGAAAGC
This 390-nucleotide ribosomal RNA is filed under the name Bifidobacterium sp. RNAcentral's name for it is "bacterial SSU rRNA". It matches the Rfam family "Bacterial small subunit ribosomal RNA", at positions 64 to 452 of the family's 1533-position model. The record is from RNAcentral. Lineage: Bacteria; Bacillati; Actinomycetota; Actinomycetes; Bifidobacteriales; Bifidobacteriaceae.